UUGACGGGGCCCGCACAAGGCGGUGGAGCAUGUGGUUAAUUCGACGCAACGCGAAGAACCUUACCUGGGCUUGACAUCCCGAUCGCACCUUAUGGAAACAUAGGGGUCAGUUCGGCUGGAUCGGUGACAGGUGCUGCAUGGCUGUCGUCAGCUCGUGUCGUGAGAUGUUGGGUUAAGUCCCGCAACGAGCGCAACCCUUGUCCUUAGUUGCCAGCAUUCAGUUGGGCACUCUAGGGAGACUGCCGGUGUCAAACCGGAGGAAGGUGGGGAUGACGUCAAGUCCUCAUGGCCCUUAUGUCCAGGGCUACACACGUGCUACAAUGGCCGGUACAAAGGGGCGCAAGACCGCGAGGUGGAGCAAAUCCCAAAAAACCGGUCUCAGUUCGGAUUGGAGUCUGCAACUCGACUCCAUGAAGUUGGAAUCGCUAGUAAUCGCGUAUCAGCAUGACGCGGUGAAUACGUUCCCGGGCCUU
RNAcentral lists this ribosomal RNA (473 nucleotides) under uncultured Desulfuromonas sp. RNAcentral describes it as "bacterial SSU rRNA". It matches the Rfam family "Bacterial small subunit ribosomal RNA", at positions 910 to 1382 of the family's 1533-position model. Lineage: Bacteria; Pseudomonadati; Thermodesulfobacteriota; Desulfuromonadia; Desulfuromonadales; Desulfuromonadaceae. The record is from RNAcentral.